GCGCGAAACCUCCGCAAUGCGAGCAAUCGCGACGGGGGGACCCCAAGUGCCACUCUUAACGGGGUGGCUUUUCAUAAGUGUAAAAGCUUUUGGAAUAAGAGCUGGGCAAGACCGGUGCCAGCCGCCGCGGUAACACUGGCAGCUCAAGUGGUGGCCGUUUUUAUUGGGCCUAAAGCGUUCGUAGCCGGUUUGAUAAGUCUCUGGUGAAAUCCUACAGCUUAACUGUGGGAAUUGCUGGAGAUACUAUCAGACUUGAGGUCGGGAGAGGUUAGAGGAACUCCCAGGGUAGGGGUGAAAUCCUAUAAUCCUGGGAGGACCACCUGUGGCGAAGGCGUCUAACUGGAACGAACCUGACGGUGAGUAACGAAAGCCAGGGGCGCGAACCGGAUUAGAGACCCU
This 399-nucleotide ribosomal RNA is filed under the name uncultured bacterium. Its description in RNAcentral is "bacterial SSU rRNA". It matches the Rfam family "Archaeal small subunit ribosomal RNA", at positions 339 to 739 of the family's 1478-position model. The record is from RNAcentral.